CAAGUCGAACGGCAGCACGAGAGCUUGCUCUUGGUGGCGAGUGGCGAACGGGUGAGUAAUAUAUCGGAACGUAUCCAAUAAUGGGGGAUAACUAAUCGAAAGGUCAGCUAAUACCGCAUACGCCCUACGGGGGAAAGCAGGGGAUCUUCGGACCUUGCGUUAAUGGAGCGGCUGAUAUCUGAUUAGCUAGUAGGUGAGGUAAAGGCUCACCUAGGCUUCGAUCAGUAGCUGGUCUGAGAGGACGACCAGCCACACUGGAACUGAGACACGGUCCAGACUCCUACGGGAGGCAGCAGUGGGGAAUUUUGGACAAUGGGCGCAAGCCUGAUCCAGCCAUUCCGCGUGAGUGAAGAAGGCCUUCGGGUUGUAAAGCUCUUUCGCAAGGGAAGAAACGAUACCGACGAAUAAUCGGUGUUAAUGACGGUACCUUGAUAAGAAGCACCGGCUAACUACGUGCCAGCAGCCGCGGUAAUACGUAGGGUGCGAGCGUUAAUCGGAAUUACUGGGCGUAAAGCGUGCGCAGGCGGUUUUGUAAGUCAGAUGUGAAAUCCCCGGGCUCAACCUGGGAACUGCGUUUGAAACUACAAGGCUAGAGUAUGGUAGAGGGGGGUAGAAUUCCACGUGUAGCAGUGAAAUGCGUAGAGAUGUGGAGGAAUACCAAUGGCGAAGGCAGCCCCCUGGACUAAUACCGACGCUCAUGCACGAAAGCGUGGGGAGCAAACAGGAUUAGAUACCCUGGUAGUCCACGCCCUAAACGAUGUCUACUAGUUGUUGGGAGAGUAAAAUCUCUUAGUAACGCAGCUAACGCGUGAAGUAGACCGCCUGGGGAGUACGGUCGCAAGAUUAAAACUCAAAGGAAUUGACGG
This 866-nucleotide ribosomal RNA is filed under the name uncultured bacterium. RNAcentral describes it as "bacterial SSU rRNA". It matches the Rfam family "Bacterial small subunit ribosomal RNA", at positions 58 to 916 of the family's 1533-position model. The record is from RNAcentral.